GUGGGGAAUAUUGCACAAUGGGCGCAAGCCUGAUGCAGCAACGCCGCGUGAGGGAAGACGGUUUUCGGAUUGUAAACCUUUGUCUUUGGUGAAGAAGAAAGUGACGGUAACCAAGGAGGAAGCCACGGCUAACUACGUGCCAGCAGCCGCGGUAAUACGUAGGUGGCAAGCGUUGUCCGGAAUUACUGGGUGUAAAGGGAGCGCAGGCGGGACUGCAAGUUGGAUGUGAAAUACCGAGGCUCAACCUCGGGGCUGCAUCCAAAACUGUAGUUCUUGAGUGAAGUAGAGGUAGGCGGAAUUCCGAGUGUAGCGGUGAAAUGCGUAGAUAUUCGGAGGAACACCAGUGGCGAAGGCGGCCUACUGGGCUUUAACUGACGCUGAGGCUCGAAAGUGUGGGGAGCAAACAGGA
RNAcentral lists this ribosomal RNA (409 nucleotides) under uncultured bacterium. RNAcentral describes it as "bacterial SSU rRNA". It matches the Rfam family "Bacterial small subunit ribosomal RNA", at positions 354 to 777 of the family's 1533-position model. The record is from RNAcentral.